GCACCUGUGGCUCAAAGGAGUAGAGUGCUGGGCCCAUAGACCAGAGGCGGCAGGUUCAAACCCAGCCCGGAGCA
Non-coding RNA from Otolemur garnettii (small-eared galago), 74 nucleotides. The record is from Rfam. Lineage: Eukaryota; Metazoa; Chordata; Mammalia; Primates; Galagidae.